CUAACACAUGCAAGUCGAACGCACCUUUCGGGGUGAGUGGCGGACGGGUGAGUAACGCGUGAGAAUCUGCCUUUUGGUCGGGGACAACCACUGGAAACGGUGGCUAAUACCGGAUGUGCCUAUGGGUAAAAGAUUUAUUGCCAAAAGAAGAGCUCGCGUCUGAUUAGCUAGUUGGUAGGGUAAAAGCCUACCAAGGCAUCGAUCAGUAGCUGGUCUGAGAGGAUGACCAGCCACACUGGGACUGAGACACGGCCCAGACUCCUACGGGAGGCAGCAGUGGGGAAUUUUCCGCAAUGGGCGAAAGCCAGACGGAGCAAUACCGCGUGAGGGAGGAAGGCUCUUGGGUUGUAAACUUCUUUUAUGAGGGAAGAAAUGC
RNAcentral lists this ribosomal RNA (376 nucleotides) under uncultured bacterium. RNAcentral describes it as "bacterial SSU rRNA". It matches the Rfam family "Bacterial small subunit ribosomal RNA", at positions 48 to 453 of the family's 1533-position model. The record is from RNAcentral.